UUUAGGAUUUUGCCAGUAGUAUACCAUCUCGUAUUAAUAUCAACCCAAACCCGUCAAUUCUAUGAUUUCACA
This 72-nucleotide small RNA is filed under the name Arabidopsis thaliana (thale cress). RNAcentral's name for it is "ATSL100630". The record is from RNAcentral. Lineage: Eukaryota; Viridiplantae; Streptophyta; Magnoliopsida; Brassicales; Brassicaceae.